Molecule: ribosomal RNA, 485 nt
Filed under: uncultured bacterium
Lineage: Bacteria
Description: partial 16S ribosomal RNA
Rfam family: Bacterial small subunit ribosomal RNA
Source: RNAcentral
AUUGAACGCUGGCGGCAUGCCUUACACAUGCAAGUCGAACGGCAGUACGGGUGCUUGCACCUGGUGGCGAGUGGCGAACGGGUGAGUAAUACAUCGGAACAUGUCCUGUAGUGGGGGAUAGCCCGGCGAAAGCCGGAUUAAUACCGCAUACGAUCUACGGAUGAAAGCGGGGGACCUUCGGGCCUCGCGCUAUAGGGUUGGCCGAUGGCUGAUUAGCUAGUUGGUGGGGUAAAGGCCUACCAAGGCGACGAUCAGUAGCUGGUCUGAGAGGACGACCAGCCACACUGGGACUGAGACACGGCCCAGACUCCUACGGGAGGCAGCAGUGGGGAAUUUUGGACAAUGGGCGAAAGCCUGAUCCAGCAAUGCCGCGUGUGUGAAGAAGGCCUUCGGGUUGUAAAGCACUUUUGUCCGGAAAGAAAUCCUUGGCCCUAAUACGGUCGGGGGAUGACGGUACCGGAAGAAUAAGCACCGGCUAACUACGU